UGGGCCUAUCGUCUAAUGGAUAAGACAUUAACCUUCUAAGUUAUGGAUGAAGGUUCGAUUCCUUCUAGGCUCAU
RNAcentral lists this transfer RNA (74 nucleotides) under Boodleopsis pusilla. RNAcentral's name for it is "tRNA-Arg". It matches the Rfam family "tRNA". From Rfam's summary of the family: Transfer RNA (tRNA) molecules are approximately 80 nucleotides in length. Their secondary structure includes four short double-helical elements and three loops (D, anti-codon, and T loops). The record is from RNAcentral. Lineage: Eukaryota; Viridiplantae; Chlorophyta; Ulvophyceae; Bryopsidales; Halimedaceae.